UGUUUUAAACACGAGUUCUAGCCAAUUUCUUUAAUUCCUUUCAUUUAGUUUGGAUGAUUUUGGAGAGCUCAAGGAGGGAUUUUCACCAAGCAACACUAGGUAAGUGAUUUAUUCCUAUUUUUGAGUUAAAUAUGUGAUCUUNNNNNNNNNNNNNNNNNNNNNNNNNACUGAUUUCGGGUUUUGUGUUUAAAAUCGAUAUUUUUCAAUUGGAAUUCAUUUAGCAUAAUUUGAUGAUAAAAAUCUGAACUUGGUAGAUUUGGAGCACUCGGAAGUUGGGUCGAGAGGCAAGCGUGUUGCAGAGUAGCUUUUCGGGCUAGUUCGAGGUGAGUAAUAAUUGUAAAUGAUGCUCUAAGGGUUUGAAACCCCGGAUUGCACAUCGUAGUGCUAUAUUGAUGUGAGACACACGUUUGAUGACGAGCGUGUGGUCGUAUACUAUUGGGGAUUGUGACUUGGCCCAUCCCGCAUUGAUGAUUUUUUCGCGUAUUUGACUGAGACUUAUUUGUUUUCAUUAUGCUUUGGGCUAAUUGCCAUAUUUGGGCUUCGUGCUAACUAUUUGAAUCCUUCGGGGAUUUUUACUACCAUUUCCUCAUUGUUUUGACUUAUUACUUGAACUUAGUCCUGUUAUUUUUCCACUGUUUUACUACUCAACCAUUUUACUCAGUUUUGAAAUUUAAAUGAUAUUCUAAAUGAUGUUUUGGGCUGAGAAAUAUUGUUUUACUAUUGCCCGAGGGGCUUGUGAUGAUUUUGGACUGAUUAAAGGUCGAGGGCCUAGUUGUGAGGAUACAUUGGUACUGAUAUGAGGCUGAGGGCCUGAGAUACUUAUAUACGCCACGAGGUGGCUUGAUUGAUAUGAGGCCGAGGGCCUAGAUUUGAUGUCACGAGAUGGCUUAAUAUUGCGCUUGGGCUGUAAGGGCCCCUCCCCGAGUCUGUACACCCCCAAUGAGCGCGAGUACCCAUUGUGAUUUGAUAUUGAGCCUGAGGGGCUAUUACUGUUUGGAUAUUGAGCCCGAGGUGCUGUUACUGUUCUGAUAUUGAGACCGAGGGGCUGUUACUAUUCUGCUAUUGAGCUUGAGGGGCUGGCUCUGUUCUGAUAUUGAGCCCGAGGGGCUUGUACUGUUCUGAGAUGUUGCCCGAGGGGCGGAUUUGUUGAUACCAUGCUCGAGGGGCGAAUUUCCAUUUUGUUACUCACUUGUAAACUACUUGUUUUACUUGUUGGAAAAAAAGGAUUUUCACUUGAUUUCUUACUGCUUUACUGUUUAAAGUGAUUUUCUGCUUCAGUAUGGAAUGCCUUGUGUUUUUACGCGAUUUCUUAUCUUCAGUCAUUAUUUAUAUUUAUUACUCACUGGGUCAGAGUACUCACAUUACUCCCUGCACCAUGUGUGUAGAUUCAGGCGUUGCUGGUUCUGCUCCUGAGUGCUGAUUCCUCCAGUUUCAGGCGGCUUUCAGGAAUUACGAGGUAGUUGUUAACGUCCGCAGCCCCGUGUCUCUAUUAUCUUGUCUUUUAUAUUCCUUACGGACAUGGUACUAGUUAUUGGAUUUAGCAAACUUGUAUUAUGACUCAUAGAUGCUCAUGACUUAUGACACCCCGGUUAGGGUUGUGUCGUGCUGGAUUUUCGCAUUUUUUUAUCUAUAUUUUCUGCUAUUUAGUAUUAUUGAACCAUGUUUAGACUAUAUUUGUGUUAAUUAACUGCUUUAAAAGAUGAUUUGGGUUAGACUGGUUGGCAUUGUCUUCACGAGAGGCACCAUCACGACCGGGUUCGGGGUUAUGGUCGUGACAAAUUGGUAUCAGAGCCUAGGUUACAUAGGUUUUACGAGUCAUGAGCAGGUUUAGUAGAGUCUCGCGGAUCGGUACGGAGACAUCUGUAUUUAUCCUCGAGAGGCUGCAGAACCUUUAGGAAAACUUCAUAUUCUUGAAUUCUUAUUGUGCAUCAUUGAUUCAGCUUGAAAUGUAACUCUUGAAAUUCCUUCCACGUGUUUGUAUGUGCACAUGGGCGCUCAGUAUCAGAUGUGCAUCAAUGGCUUGUUAUUCCCUGAUCGAGGGGCGAGAUGUAAUUUUCUGUGCGUUGAGGUUGGGCAGUCUGGAGGACUUGAGGUUGGAUUUUGCCUGCAGCUUGAGCACCGAGGUGCUGAUUGAAUGAGCGCGUGUAUUUGGAUUUAUAUAUUUGAUAGUGUCCCUAUCAAGGGAAGUGAUGACUGGAUAGCUAUGUGAUGAGUAUGAUGUGACUGCGAGAUGUGUUCAGAUUGUUCGAAUGUGGCAAAAAGAGGUUACUUAAGGGUAAAAAGAACUAUUAGGUGCUUUAUUUCCAUCUUGAUUUGAUGUAUAGCCCCGAGUUAUGGGAGUGUGAAGAAUCUUUUCCUGUUGUCUGGUUGGGAAGUAAAGUAGAUUUCAUGUCAUGAUAUGGGUUCAGACCCAGGAAGACUAAGUGAUUGUGUAAUAGUUAUGAUUAUGGAAGGGUAAAGAGAGAUACCAGUUUGAGGCGAAGCAGGUGGGUUAUCUCCUGCAGAUUGUUUUGAAGUUUGUGUGAUCCUUAUGUCGUUUAUUUUGGAGAUCUCUCUUACCAGUGGAAGAUAUGCGUUACAAUUGAGUCUGAGUUGCUUAAGAGAGUAGGCAUGUCUGUUACGUGGAUGAAUGCGAGAUUUGCAGAAGAUUUAAAGUACUAAAUGGUCUGUGUUUCACGAGCAUAUAAAGGACUGCGUUAAAUUUCUGUAUGGUAUUAUGGCGGUAAUAGAGUAUAUGCAUUAUGAGUUAUGGUGUGUUUUGGUCUGUGGCCUUAAGCCAAGUGGGGGAGUCUACUAUAGCUUAUUUGAUUGUAUAGUUAUGUGCUAUGUUGGUUCCAGUUUGAGGUGUAUGGGAGAAUCAGUUAUGGCCUACGAAGAUUGAGACCGAGGGUGGCUCGAGUAAAGGAAAUUUUUUGGACAAAGGUUAUAGUAUGCUUCAUAGGUAUGAGAAUCACAGAAUGUCUUGAGAUGUUGUUGGUAAAGGAUGUUCGGUGCAUAGGACAGGAAGUUGCUUGAUUGGAUUAAGGUGAGGCUACACUUUGCGGUGUAGGAGUGCUAAUGAGGCAGGUUGUUCGGUUCGUUUGAUCAGGCUAAUUGCAGUUUGAGUAUAGUGAAUGACUCUCGAUAAUUGUUUGAAAGUGUUCGAGAUUGUACAUGUAAAAAUUGGAAAUUUUCAAGUGUAUGAUUCGGCUAGAAAUUGAGGGUUGCAUUGGAGGGUGUCAAGAUUUGUGUCAUUUCUAUAUCAAUUAUGGGAUUCUAUAUAUAUCAGGGUUAGGAAGGUAAUGGUUCUAGAUUCGCAGAAAGUCUCGUCGGGGUAGGUAUUUUGAACGUGGUGCUUUUGGGAACAUUUAAGGAAGUAUUCAACGACUUAUGAGCCUUAGACGGUGUAGCUUUAUGCUUAGGUCUCGUGUGGUGAGUCUGGGUCGAGGAUUGUGAUGUGAUAGCAGGAACAAGUAUCAAGUCGAAGGUAAAUUCAGAGGAACUUGUAUAGAUGGGAUAGCUUAGUAGUAGGUCGGCUCGGUAUGGGAAAUGAUGUGAUGAGUUCUUUGGGUGCUUAUGAGGUAAAGAGUUUCUACAGGUGUUUCGCGACAAUGCUCUUGAGUUUUAAUGAACUGCGUAGCUUGGUUGAGUUAGAAAGAUUCGGUCCUGACAGUUUAGUUUGUGUAAAUGGAGUUCGGAGAGUUCUUGAUGGUCUCUGCCACGGUUAGAGAUGCGUGUUUUCUACGAGUGUGAAGAGCAUGGGAUGUGUAGUGAUUUUCUUCAAGAUAGGAUCAAUGGAAAGUUCUUGAUUAGUUGAGUACAUAGUUGCUUGUGGCUCGGAAGGGAUAUGAAGUUCUUAUGUGUUUGUCCCGGCUGUGAUGGUUGUCCUUGUGUGUUAUAAGAGGAAGUGGGUUAUUAUUGACCCAGGUAAAGCUAUUAGCCUAGUUCAGUGUGAGCGGAAUUGGCUUGAAGUGUGUGAAAGGAUUUAAACAGACUUAUGGGGCCCAUGUGAGUCAGAUGUUUUCAUUUCAGUAUAGCGCUCCUCAAGGAGGGGUGUGGAAUAUAAGAUGUUGUUCCGUCGUCAAAUUCAUGUAUAUUAUGAUUGUGUCGUGUGAGUUGUGAAACGGCUCGAUAGAUCCUUAUGUGUUGAGUCUCUAUGUAGUGAUGAUGUUAUGUGAGAAGGAGAGCUCUUGUGAUUCAGAGUAUAUAUAUCGCACCUCAGUUGUGCUCGAGUUUUGUAGCGUAUGGCUCUAUCGAUCUCCCCAGGAUGGUAUUAUGCGCUUAGCGUGCUUGUGACCGAUAUUCGGUAAAUUGUAAUGGUGAGAAAUUCAGCUCCGUGUAUAUCUCCUUAUGUGAAUUUUAUGAUUGGAUCAAGUGGCACGCCACCAUGGGUAUGUUAUUUAUAUUGGGUUGCACGCCGCAACAGGGUGAUAUUGAGUAAGGCUCCUAUAUUUAUUUUUCUUGUGUUUUGCUUCCUAUUUUCUAAGGAAAUCCAUGUUAGUUGCGUGAGAUGAGUAGUCCUUUCAUGAGUCAUUUCCUUAUGCAUCAUGUUCGAGUUGAGGCCUAUUGGCGCAUUGUGGCAUCAUGUGAGACUGUUGGUCAUGCCUUAGGUGACUUAUUGCCUAAGCAGUUCAUACUGGGCGAGACGAAAUUAUGGUAUCAGGGAUCGGUGCGAUAAGACUAUGUAGAAGUAUAUUACAGGACAAAUACCAUUAUUUGGUUCGUAAUGAGAUAAGGAUUUCAGUCAAGAUGAAACAUUCAAUGUUUGGUUAGCUUUGCAGUUGGUUAGAAAUUUCUACACAUCUCCUCCGUUUUGGUGGUAUUGCCAGCAUUAUAGCAGGAUGUAUAUAAUAUAUCAUAAGGUGCAUUGGGAGCAUCAGAUUCGUGGAAUUUUGGCUAUUAGGUUCAGGGAGUGUCACUGUGGUUAGAUGAUGAAUUAUGCGGCGCAUGGUGCUAAUUCAGCAAAUGUAUGCAGUCAUGUUUGGCACAUCGUGUGGUAGUUGAUAAUGUGUUUAUAUAUUGGAAAAAGGCCUGGCAGAGGAUUUCCGAUGUUGAAAACCUAGUUCUAAGGCCCAUCUUCCUAAAUAAAAGAGGAUAUCCUUAGAAUUGUUUGAGCAAGUGUACUCAAUUGGGUUGUGGUAGCAUGGGAAGGUGCACGAGGUAUUAAACAGUGAUUUCAGAUAACUCCAGAGCAGUUCUUAGCACGUUUGAGGACGAACGUAUGUUUAAGUGGGAGAGAAUGUAAUGACCUGACCGGUCGUUUUGAGCUCUAGCGCGUCGUUCAAUAGUUUGAGGCCAUGAACAGCUUCACUUCACGUAUUAUGACUUGUACGCAUGGUUGGAAUUGAAUUUCAGGAAAUUCGGAGUUGAUUUGGAGAAAGAAUUCUUAUUUCGUAAGAUUUAAGUUAAAAGAAUUGACUAAGAUUGAAUUUUUGAGUGAACGACCUCGGAAUCAGGAUUCGAAGGUUCCAACAGGUUCGUAUGAUGAUUUUGGACUUGGGCAUAUGUCCGGAUUAGGUUUUGGAACACCCUGGAAUGUUUCGGCACCUAUAGUGGAAGUUGGCAUUUUUGAAAGAAUUUCAUAAGUUUGGGUUGAAGUGCAUAUUAGUGUUAUCGAUGUCUGUUUGGGAUUCCGAGUCUGAGAAUAGCUCCAUAUGGUGAUUCUAGUGUUGGGAGCGUGAACGGAAGUGAAUUCAGAGGUCCGUGGGUCAUUUUGGAAUCAUUUGACUAAAGUUAGAAAUUUGAAAGUUUUGAGAAGUUUGACCGAGAGUUGACUUUUUGAUAUCGGGGUCGGAUUUCGAUUUCGGAAGUUGGAGUAGGUAUAUAAUAUCGAAUGUGACUUGUGUGCAAAAUUUGAAGUCAUUCCGGAAUAAUUUUGGUAAGGUUUGAGACACUUAGUCUCUUUUAAGGAAGCUUAAGUUGGAAAAGUCAACCGGAUGUUGACUUAUGUGUUAAAGGGCUUGGAUGUGAGUUCCAAUAGUUUGUUUAGCUUCGCUAGGUGAUUUAUGACUUAGGAGCAUGAUCGGAAGGAGUUUUAGAGGUUCGUAGUAGAUUUAGGCUUGAAUUGGCGAAGUUGAUAUUUUGGCGUUUUCCGGUUGAUAGGUGAGAUUUUGAUAUAGGGGUCGGAAUGGAAUUCCGAGAGUUGCAGUAGUUCCGUUGUGUCAUUUGGCAUGUGUGUGAAAAAUUUUAUGUCAUUCGGACGUGGUUUGGUUGGGUUUUUGAUCAAAAGAGUGAUUUAGAAGAUUUUGAAAUUCUUAGGCUUGAAUCCAAUGCGAAUUUGGUGUUGUGAUGUUGUUUUGAGCAUUCUGAAGGUUGGAACAAGUUUGAAUGAUGUUAUGGGAUAUGUUGGCAUGUUUGGUUGAGGUCCAAGUGGCCUCGGGUGGUUAAACGGACUAUUUUAUCUUUGGAAAAGUUGCAGAUUUUUUUAGCUUCAGUUGUGCACCAGAAAAUUUCUGGUGCGAGGAGUCCAGUUUGGAAGCUCAUAUCAUGAAAUCUAUGAGGAAUAACAAAAAUUGCAAAACAUAAAAGUUGUAGCCCUUGCAUUCUAGUUUCCAGAAGGUUAAACCAUUCAGGAUUUGGAUAUUCUAUCAGAAAGUUAUGACAGAUCGAAUAUGGCUGGUGGAUCAGUUUUGACAGAAUUUUCUGAUGCACUUUAUAAGAUCAUAUCUCGGAAUAUAUAAAGGGUUAUAUGGUGUACAACCUAUCAAAUGAAAGAUCUUCGAGUCUAGUUUUUAAAUUUUCAAACCGUUUGUCAUUUGGAUAUUUUCACAAAGUGUUAUAGGCAUUUUAACAAAAGGUGUACAGCAGGAAAAAUGGUAAGAGGAUGUACAACCUGCACAACGCAAGGUACACCUCGAUGAAGCCUGGGCAGAUUGUUUUAAACACGAGUUCUAGCUCAUUUCUUUCAUUCCUUUCAUUUGGUUUGGAUGAUUUUGGAGAGUUCAAGGAAGGAUUUUCACCAAAAAAUACUAGGUAAGUGAUUUAUUCUUAUUUUUGAGUUAAAUAUGUGAUCUUACAUGGAUUUAGAUAUGAAAAUCAGUAGAAAAAGGUGGAGUUAGGGCUUGAGAUUAUGAGACCUUCUNNNNNNNNNNNNNNNNNNNNNNNNNNNNNNNNNNNNNNNNNNNNNNNNNNNNNNNNNNNNNNNNNNNNNNNNNNNNNNNNNNNNNNNNNNNNNNNNNNNNNNNNNUCGAGUUUUGACUAAUUUCGGGUUUUGUGUUUAAAAUCAAUAUUUUUCAAUUGGAAUUCAUUCAUUUAGCAUAAUUUGAUGAUAAAAAAUCUGAACUUGGUAGAUUUGGAGCACUCGGAAGUUGGGUCGAGAGGCAAGCGUGUUACAGAGUAGCUUUUCGGGCUAGUUCGAGGUGAGUAUUAAUUGUAAAUGAUGCUCUAAGGGUUUGAAACCCCGGAUUGCACAUUGUAGUGCUAUAUUGAUGUGAGACGCACGUUUGAUGACGAGCGUGUGGUCAUAUACUAUUGGGGAUUGUGACUUGGUCCAUCCCGCAUUGAUGAUUUUUUUGCGUAUUUGACUGAGACUUAUUUGUUUUCAUUAUGCUUUGGGCUAAUUGCCAUAUUUGGGCUUUGUGCCAACUAUUUGAAUCCUUCGCGGAUUUUUACUAUCAUUUCCUCACUGUUUUGACUUAUUACUUGAACUUAGUCCUGUUAUUUUUCUACUGUUUUACUACUCAGUCAUUUUACUCAGUUUUGAGAUUUAAAUGAUAUUCUAAAUGAUGUUUUGGGUUGAGAAAUAUUGUUUUACUAUUUCCCGAGGGGUUGUGAUGAUUUUGGAGCGAUUAAAGGCUGAGGGCCUAGUUGUGAGGAUACACUGGUACUGAUAUGAGGUUGAGGGUCUGAGAUACUUAUAUACGCCACGAGGUGGCUUGAUUGAUAUGAGACCGAGGGCCUAGAUUUGACGCUACGAGAUGGCUUGAUAUUGCGCUUGGGCCGUAAGGGGCCCCUCCCGGAGUCUGUACACCUACAGUGAGUGCGGGUACCCAUUCUGAUCUGAUAUUGAGCCCGAUGGGCUGUUACUGUUUAGAUAUUGAACCCGAGAGACUGUUACUGUUCUGAUAUUGAGACCGAGGGGCUGUUACUAUUCUGCUAUUGAGCCUGAGGGGCUGGCUCUGUUCUGAUAUUGAGCCCGAGGGGCUGGUACUGUUCUAAGAUAUUGCCCGAGGGGCGGAUUUGUUGAUACGAUGUCCGAGGGGCGAAUUUCCAUUUUGUUACUCACUUGUGAACUACUUGUUUUACUUGUUGGAAAAAAAAGGAUUUCACUUGAUUUCUCAUUGCUUUACUAUUUAAAGUAAUUUUUCUGCUUCAGUAUGGAAUGCCUUGUGUUUUUAUGCGAUUUCUUAUCUUCAGUCAUUAUUUAUAUUUAUUACUCACUGGGUCGGAGUACUCACAUUACUCCCUGCACCAUGUGUGCAGAUUCAGGCAUUGCUGGUUCCGCUCCUGAGUGCUGAUUCCUCCAGUUUUAGGCGGCUUUCAGGGAUUACGAGGUAGCUGUUGAUGUCAGCAGCCCCGUGUCUCUAUUAUCUCGUCUUUUAUAUUCCCUACGGACAUGGUACUAGUUAUUGGAUUUAGCAAACUUGUAUUAUGACUCAUAGAUGCUCAUGACUUGUGACACCCCGGUUAGGGCUAUGUCGGGAUAGAUUUUCGCAUUUUUUAUCUAUAUUUUCCGCUAUUUAGUAUUAUUGAACCAUGUUUAGACUAUAUUUGUGUUAAUUAACUACUUUAAAAGAUGAUUUGGGUUAGACUGGCUGGCCUUGUCUUCACGAGAGGCGCCAUCAUGACUGGGUUCGGGG
Molecule: long non-coding RNA, 8777 nt
Filed under: Nicotiana tabacum (common tobacco)
Lineage: Eukaryota; Viridiplantae; Streptophyta; Magnoliopsida; Solanales; Solanaceae
Description: long non-coding RNA (NTAB_LNC007414)
Source: RNAcentral